RNAcentral lists this ribosomal RNA (466 nucleotides) under uncultured bacterium. RNAcentral describes it as "bacterial SSU rRNA". It matches the Rfam family "Bacterial small subunit ribosomal RNA", at positions 338 to 795 of the family's 1533-position model. The record is from RNAcentral.
CCUACGGGUGGCUGCAGUGGGGAAUAUUGGACAAUGGGGGGAACCCUGAUCCAGCCAUGCCGCGUGUGUGAAGAAGGCCUUUUGGUUGUAAAGCACUUUAAGCGAGGAGGAGGCUACCGAGAUUAAUACUCUUGGAUAGUGGACGUUACUCGCAGAAUAAGCACCGGCUAACUCUGUGCCAGCAGCCGCGGUAAUACAGAGGGUGCAAGCGUUAAUCGGAUUUACUGGGCGUAAAGCGCGCGUAGGUGGCCAAUUAAGUCAAAUGUGAAAUCCCCGAGCUUAACUUGGGAAUUGCAUUCGAUACUGGUUGGCUAGAGUAUGGGAGAGGAUGGUAGAAUUCCAGGUGUAGCGGUGAAAUGCGUAGAGAUCUGGAGGAAUACCGAUGGCGAAGGCAGCCAUCUGGCCUAAUACUGACACUGAGGUGCGAAAGCAUGGGGAGCAAACAGGAUUAGAUACCCAAGUAGUC